UACGUAGGGUGCGAGCGUUGUCCGGAAUUAUUGGGCGUAAAGGGCUCGUAGGCGGUUUGUCGCGUCGGGGGUGAAAACCAGGUGCUUAACACCUGGCUUGCUUUCGAUACGGGCAGACUAGAGGUAUUCAGGGGAGAACGGAAUUCCUGGUGUAGCGGUGAAAUGCGCAGAUAUCAGGAGGAACACCGGUGGCGAAGGCGGUUCUCUGGGAAUGACCUGACGCUGAGGAGCGAAAGCUAGGGGAGCAAACAGG
This 253-nucleotide ribosomal RNA is filed under the name uncultured bacterium. RNAcentral describes it as "partial 16S ribosomal RNA". It matches the Rfam family "Bacterial small subunit ribosomal RNA", at positions 524 to 776 of the family's 1533-position model. The record is from RNAcentral.